UACGGAGGGGGCGAGCGUUAUUCGGAAUUAUUGGGCGUAAAGGGCGCGUAGGCGGCUCUGUAAGUCAAAGGUGAAAUCCCUCGGCUCAACUGAGGAACUGCCUUUGAAACUGCAGGGCUUGAGGCCGGGAGGGGGUAGCGGAAUUCCCAAUGUAGCGGUGAAAUGCGUAGAUAUUGGGAGGAACACCAGUGGCGAAGGCGGCUGCCUGGACCGGUUCUGACGCUGAUGCGCGAAAGCGUGGGUAGCAAACAGG
Molecule: ribosomal RNA, 253 nt
Filed under: uncultured bacterium
Lineage: Bacteria
Description: partial 16S ribosomal RNA
Rfam family: Bacterial small subunit ribosomal RNA
Source: RNAcentral